RNAcentral lists this ribosomal RNA (420 nucleotides) under uncultured fungus. Its description in RNAcentral is "eukaryotic LSU rRNA". It matches the Rfam family "Eukaryotic large subunit ribosomal RNA", at positions 1 to 422 of the family's 3401-position model. The record is from RNAcentral. Lineage: Eukaryota; Fungi.
GACCUCGGAUCAGGUAGGGAUACCCGCUGAACUUAAGCAUAUCAAUAAGCGGAGGAAAAGAAACCAACAGGGAUUGCCUCAGUAACGGCGAGUGAAGCGGCAACAGCUCAAAUUUGAAAUCUGGCCUUCGGGUCCGAGUUGUAAUUUGCAGAGGAUGCUUCGAGCAUGGUCUAGUCUAAGUUCCUUGGAAUAGGACGUCAUAGAGGGUGAGAAUCCCGUAUGCGACUGGGUGCCUAAGCUCAUGUGAAGCUCCUUCGACGAGUCGAGUUGUUUGGGAAUGCAGCUCAAAAUGGGUGGUAAAUUUCAUCUAAAGCUAAAUAUUGGCCAGAGACCGAUAGCGCACAAGUAGAGUGAUCGAAAGAUGAAAAGCACUUUGGAAAGAGAGUUAAAUAGCACGUGAAAUUGUUGAAAGGGGAGCGC